UGGUGUGUUGGGUUCGACCAAGAACAGGGGGAAACAAGGGAAACCCUUGUUUAUGCAAAAUUCAUUCAAUUGACAAGGAGAUUCAAGGCUAAUCAGUUGCAUGACUUCAAUUUUUCGAUCAUCUUAACAUACUCAGUAAAGUGGCGUGAAGGAAGAAGGUACAAGCACUAGGAAAACGGGAAGCACGCAAGAUCGAGGUAAAACUCCACUUUAGGCGAUUUGGAGAUACGGAGCGAGCACGUGUCCAUGCUUUAUUAUACCAAGCGCUUCCGCUAGUUAUAUGCACACUUUUUGGGUCCAUGUCUUGUUAUUUUGUUUAAUCUUGUUAGAAGUCAUACACUUAAAAACUUGUUGUCUUCGUUUUGGGAAGUUUAAAGUUAAAUGGGUCGUAGAUUUUCGUUAGUUUAAUAUAUUAAAAACAGGUGGCAUGCUCGUUUUACGAACGGGUCAUGCCCAAUUUUUGUAAGAAUUUCGUUAUGUUUUAUCUUUUUAUGGAAAAGCGGACCUUACAAGUUGGUAUCAGAGCCAAGGUUUGAGGGAUUCGAGCAUUCGAGGUGAUGCUUAAACUCAAACCGACGGCUCGUUCAAAAGCGUGCUCGCUCCAAGAUCGCCAAUGAGGUAACAAUUUAAAUUUUUUUUUUAAUAAACGCAAGUAUGUGUAAUGUGCUUGUAAAGUUAAGUUAAGUUAAGUAUGCGAAGGGGUAAAUAUGGAGGGCAAAAUGAUGAGUUCUAGCGACCGUACGGCUGGAAACGGACCCGAAAAAGAAUUAAAAUACAAAAAUUGAAAUCUGCAGCGAAGUGAUCAAGGGGAGGCCGUCGCCGACGCCUCACCUGCCCGUCGCCGACGCCCUCAUUUGGGCCGACGCCCUAACCCACUGUCUACGGGGUUUUCACUCGACGCACAUAUUUAGAAGCCGUCGCCGACGGGCUUCCUUGCCGUCGCCGACGGCUAGCAAAAAUUUAGCCCGCUGAUUUGUAUAGUUUUUCGCAUUUUAAGUUUCCGCAUUAUAUGAAAGCCUAUUUAAUUAUUACAUAAAGUCCAUAUAAGGCCUAAUAGAGGUAUGUAACCACAAUUAGUGGUUACGAUGGGAUGGGCUCGGUAGAGUCAAAGGUAAUGUGUCGAAUGACACGAACGAAUGAUGAAAGCUUAAAAAGCGAGUGAAGCCUACAAUAUAAAAAUGCGAAUGAAGUAAACACGGACUAAUGAACUAUGAUAUACUAAAAGCUUGUGAAUUAUGAUUUAAGUUCCCAUACUUCUCAGAAAUGCCCGUUUUAUGUUCCUGUCAAGUUAUGUAGAUCGUCGGCGAUAAAGUAAGAUUUAUAAAAGUCGAAUGUAACGUAUGGAAUGGCAUGAAAUGAAUGACGAAUGUAUAAAGUGGAAUUGGAAUUCGUAUGAAAAUUUGGAUGAAUGUAUGCUAUGAUAGAAUUAUGCAUUAGAGGCUUGUACCUUGUACAUGAAUAGCGUGAUGCUUAUGUAUAUUUAAUGAUUUGCUUUAGUAUGAUCAAGAGACGAAUAUGUGCUAAAUGUGAAUCAUACAAGCUAAUUAGUAAAGGUUAUGUUGAAAUUAUGUUAUAUAGUUGUUUCGAAUGAAAUUCGCUAAUUGUAGAAUCAUGGAGCAUUAGCAUGUGAAAAUACGUGUAUGUGAAUGUAUAUGUGUAUUGUUUAGAAGAUCACGUAAAUGGUAUAUAUCAUACAAUACGAGUACUAAAUGCGUAGGAUAUUAAUAUUAUGGUCUACCAUAUUUAGAUGAAUACAUGUUCAAAAGUUUAAAGUGUGUAAGCAAGACAGUUGACUAUCUAAAAGUCAACAGUAUAGGGAUAUUAUGAAAUAAUCAUUAGACACAAAUGCUAAAAUAAAGAGUUGAUGUGUUAUGUGUUAUGUAUUAAGUGAUUUACGUGUAAUGCUUGAUGAUAGUUUAGUUGUAUGGAUUGGAAAUGAGAUAACUAUUAAUAAUAAAUGUCUCAUUUAUACGAAAUUUGACUAACGGAAGUCAAUCAACGUAUGAAUAAAAAAAAAGGGUGAAUAGUUGUAUGUAUGCUCACAUAAGUUAACAAUGUUACGAACGUAAUAACAUGUAAGGAUGGAAAUUUUGUCAAUUGACUCAAGCAUGGAUGGCGAAAAAAAAAAAAAACGGGGGAAGCAAUGAGGCAAGCAUGAACAUGGACGCUAAAGGUAAGUGAUUUCGCAAUCACUUCGAAUUUAUUUACAAGAAGAUGUAUACGUGUUUGAAUAUAUUCGAAAUCAAAGUGAAACGUAUAAAUAAAUGAGAAAUGUUAAGGUAGGUUUUGUUGAAAUGGUUGGCAGAUUGUUAAACCGACAAGACCUCAUUAUAGGGGUAGACCGGUCAUAAAUUUUAGCUGAGAAGUUUUAAGACGGAAAUGAGAACUUGGUAAUAUUGAAGAAAGGCAUGGAAAGAAUAUUACUUAAGAUGUAACUAAAGACAUUUUGUAAGUAUGUUCGAAUUGAAAGUAAGUACAACGCAUACCACGAUACUUAUAUACAUAAUAAGUUCUAAGUGGUGAUUGACUUUAAAAGGUUAAAUUGCAGAAGUCAGUAAAUAAUAAUUAUUUAUAAAUUUUGGAAGUAUUACGUAAGAAAUGCAAUGUGUAAUGUAUGAUACUCAUUAGUAAGGGAUAUGUGAGAGAACGUAGAUGAAUUAACACCAAAUACAGUGAAUGAACAAAUGAAAAUAGUAUAUUAAGGGAUGGUUAUGUAUUAACCGAAGCUCGAGAAAACACGAGAAUCAUCUCACUUAUGUCCGGUCAAACUAGUAAAAAGGGGUCUAACGAUUCUUAAAGGAUCG
Molecule: long non-coding RNA, 2804 nt
Filed under: Helianthus annuus (common sunflower)
Lineage: Eukaryota; Viridiplantae; Streptophyta; Magnoliopsida; Asterales; Asteraceae
Description: hypothetical non coding rna
Source: RNAcentral